CAGAGGGUGCGAGCGUUAAUCGGAAUUACUGGGCGUAAAGCGUGCGUAGACGGUUAUUUAAGUCAGGUGUGAAAGCCCCGGGCUCAACCUGGGAAUUGCAUUUGAGACUGAAUAGCUAGGGUGCGGAAGAGGGAAGCGGAAUUUCCGGUGUAGCGGUGAAAUGCGUAGAUAUCGGAAGGAACACCAGUGGCGAAAGCGGCUUCCUGGUCCAGCACCGACGUUCAGGCACGAAAGCGUGGGGGGCAAACAGGAUUAGAUACCCUGGUAGUCCACGCCAUAAACGAUGAGAACUAGACGUUGAGAGGGUAAGCCUCCCAGUGUCGAAGCUAACGCGAUAAGUUCUCCGCCUGGGGAGUACGGCCGCAAGGUUG
Molecule: ribosomal RNA, 371 nt
Filed under: uncultured organism
Description: bacterial SSU rRNA
Rfam family: Bacterial small subunit ribosomal RNA
Source: RNAcentral